RNAcentral lists this ribosomal RNA (253 nucleotides) under uncultured bacterium. Its description in RNAcentral is "partial 16S ribosomal RNA". It matches the Rfam family "Bacterial small subunit ribosomal RNA", at positions 524 to 776 of the family's 1533-position model. The record is from RNAcentral.
UACAGAGGUCCCAAGCGUUGUUCGGAUUCACUGGGCGUAAAGGGUGCGUAGGCGGGCGGCCAAGUCCGGGGUGAAAGCCCCCAGCUCAACUGGGGAAGUGCCUUGGAAACUGGUCGUCUUGAGGGAGGUAGGGGCAUGUGGAACUUCGGGUGGAGCGGUGAAAUGCGUUGAUAUCCGAAGGAACGCCGGUGGCGAAAGCGACGUGCUGGAUCUCUUCUGACGCUGAGGCGCGAAAGCCAGGGUAGCGAACGGG